UUACUGGGCGUAAAGCGUACGUAGGCGGAUUAGUAAGUUAGAGGUGAAAUCCCAGGGCUCAACCCUGGAACUGCCUUUAAUACUGCUAGUCUAGAGUUCGAGAGAGGUGAGUGGAAUUCCAAGUGUAGAGGUGAAAUUCGUAGAUAUUUGGAGGAACACCAGUGGCGAAGGCGGCUCACUGGCUCGAUACUGACGCUGAGGUACGAAAGUGUGGGGAGCAAACAGGAUUAGAUACCCUGGUAGUCCACACCGUAAACGAUGGACACUAGUUGUUGGAAUUAUUCAGUGACUAAGCGAAAGUGAUAAGUGUCCCACCUGGGGAGUACGAUCGCAAGAUUGAAACUCAAAGGAAUUGACGGGGGCCCGCACAAGCGGUGGAGCGUGUGGUUUAAUUCGAUGCAACGCGAAGAACCUUACCUACUCUUGACAUACUAGAAACUUUUCAGAGAUGAAUUGGUGCCUUCGGGAAUCUAGAUACAGGUGCUGCAUGGCU
This 493-nucleotide ribosomal RNA is filed under the name uncultured Nereida sp. Its description in RNAcentral is "bacterial SSU rRNA". It matches the Rfam family "Bacterial small subunit ribosomal RNA", at positions 551 to 1050 of the family's 1533-position model. Lineage: Bacteria; Pseudomonadati; Pseudomonadota; Alphaproteobacteria; Rhodobacterales; Roseobacteraceae. The record is from RNAcentral.